This is a non-coding RNA of Rhododendron griersonianum, 76 nucleotides long. The record is from the annotation of a GenBank genome assembly. Lineage: Eukaryota; Viridiplantae; Streptophyta; Magnoliopsida; Ericales; Ericaceae.
GUUAAAGCCUGGUGCAGUGGUAAGUGACAGGUAAAGGAAAAGAAAGGGCGUGGGUUCGAGUCCCACUCCUUUAACG